Molecule: ribosomal RNA, 464 nt
Filed under: uncultured bacterium
Lineage: Bacteria
Description: partial 16S ribosomal RNA
Rfam family: Bacterial small subunit ribosomal RNA
Source: RNAcentral
ACGAACGCUGGCGGCGCGCCUAACACCUGCAAGUCGAACGAGCGAGAGAGAGCUUGCUUUCUUGAGCGAGUGGCGAACGGGUGAGUAACGCGUGAGGAACCUGCCUCAAAGAGGGGGACAACAGUUGGAAACGACUGCUAAUACCGCAUAAGCCCACGGUGCCGCAUGGCACAGAGGGAAAAGGAGCAAUCCGCUUUGAGAUGGCCUCGCGUCCGAUUAGCUAGUUGGUGAGGUAACGGCCCACCAAGGCGACGAUCGGUAGCCGGACUGAGAGGUUGAACGGCCACAUUGGGACGGGGACACGGCCCAGAUUCCACGGGGAGGCGGCAGGGGGGAAUAUGGCACAUUGGGGGAAACCCUGAUGCGCCGACGCCGCGGGGAGGAAGAAGGUCUUCGAAUUGUAACCUCCUUUUGUUGGGGAGGUAAUGACGGUACCCAACAAGGAAGUGACGGCUAACUACGUG